This 221-nucleotide unclassified non-coding RNA is filed under the name uncultured Tomentella. RNAcentral describes it as "sequence contains ITS2". The record is from RNAcentral. Lineage: Eukaryota; Fungi; Basidiomycota; Agaricomycetes; Thelephorales; Thelephoraceae.
ACACCUCAACUCUCAUGGUUCGCCGUGAUGAGCUUGGACUUUGGGGGUUUUGCUGGCCCUGUGGGUUGGCUCCUCUCAAAUGAAUCAGCUUGCCAGUGUUUGGUGGCAUCACAGGUGUGAUAACUAUCUACGCUUGUGGUUUUCCACCAGGUAACCUUCAGUGAAUGGAGGUUCGCUGGGGCUCAUAGACGUCUCUCCUCAGUGAGGACAGCUCUUUGAAC